RNAcentral lists this non-coding RNA (154 nucleotides) under uncultured Agathobacter sp. Lineage: Bacteria; Bacillati; Bacillota; Clostridia; Lachnospirales; Lachnospiraceae. The record is from RNAcentral.
GAAUAUUAGAUUUUCUUAAUGUUCUGCACACAAUCCAACAACUCGGCAACAGGACGUUGCCGAGAGUUCGAGCUGAGCCAUGGAUGGCGAAUCUCGAACGUUUGCGUUAUUAUGCAACGGCUUACAUCAGAACAUUUAGAAAAUCUUAUAUUCA